GCUGGGCACAGUGUCGUGUGCCUGUAGUCCCAGCUACUCAGGAGCCUGAGGCUGGAGGAUCACUUGAGUCCAGUUCUGGGCUAUAGUGCGCUAUGCCAGUCGGGCGUCUGCACUAAGUUCAGCAUCAAUAUGGUGACCUCCCAGGAGUAGGGGACCACCACAUUGCCUAAGGAGGGAUGAACUGGCCCAGUCAGAAAUGGAGCAAGUCAAAACUCCUGUGCUGAUCAGUAGUGGGAUCGCGCCUGGGAAUAGCCUCUGUACUCCAGCCUGGGCAACAUAGCGAGACCCUAUGUCU
Molecule: signal recognition particle RNA, 295 nt
Filed under: Saimiri boliviensis boliviensis (Bolivian squirrel monkey)
Lineage: Eukaryota; Metazoa; Chordata; Mammalia; Primates; Cebidae
Description: Metazoan signal recognition particle RNA (ENSSBOG00000016089.1)
Rfam family: Metazoan signal recognition particle RNA
About the family: The signal recognition particle (SRP) is a universally conserved ribonucleoprotein.
Source: RNAcentral